UAACAUGAGGGAUCUUAGGGUCAAAAUUGGGGUCUUACAUACCCUCUCUUCUCUUCUUUUUCCAAAGGUUAGGAAUAUUUCUACAAAUCCCUUUGGAGGUUACUGAAGCACAAAUACCUAUUAAUAUAUCCCCCAUGUAUGGUGCCAUACUUUAUUUUUUUUCAAGCCCAAGUUGGUAAACAACUCUACAUACACGAUGUCACAUGAACUCUCCUCAUCCACGAGAAUUCAUGAAACAC
RNAcentral lists this long non-coding RNA (239 nucleotides) under Lathyrus oleraceus (garden pea). RNAcentral's name for it is "Pisum sativum (pea) long non-coding RNA (PSAT_LNC018477)". The record is from RNAcentral. Lineage: Eukaryota; Viridiplantae; Streptophyta; Magnoliopsida; Fabales; Fabaceae.